CCUACGGGAGACAGCAGUGAGGAAUAUUGGUCAAUGGGCGCGAGUCUGAACCAGCCAAGUAGCGUGCAGGAUGACUGCCCUACGGGUUGUAAACUUCUUUUAUAGAGGAAUACAGUGAUGCACGUGUGCCUUUUUGUCUGUACUUUAUGAAUAAGGAUCGGCUAACUCCGUGCCCGCGGCCGCGGUCAUACGGAGGAUCCGAGCGUUAUCCGGAUUUCUUGGGUUUAAAGGGAGCGUAGAUGGGGUGUUAAGUCAGUUGUGAAAGUUUGCGGCUCAACCGUAAACUUGCAAUUGAAAAUGGGUGCCUUGAGUACAGUAGAGGGAGGCGGAAUUCGUGGUGUAGCGGUGAAAUGCUUAGAUAUCACGAAGAACUCCGAUUGCGAAGGCAGCUCACUGAACUGCAACUGACACUGAGGCUCGAAAGUGUGGGUAUCAAACAGGAUUAGAUACCCGUGUAGUC
Molecule: ribosomal RNA, 460 nt
Filed under: uncultured bacterium
Lineage: Bacteria
Description: partial 16S ribosomal RNA
Rfam family: Bacterial small subunit ribosomal RNA
Source: RNAcentral